This 538-nucleotide ribosomal RNA is filed under the name Staphylococcus aureus. Its description in RNAcentral is "partial 23S ribosomal RNA". It matches the Rfam family "Bacterial large subunit ribosomal RNA", at positions 2385 to 2925 of the family's 2925-position model. The record is from RNAcentral. Lineage: Bacteria; Bacillati; Bacillota; Bacilli; Caryophanales; Staphylococcaceae.
CAAGUCGAGCAGGGUCGAAAGACGGACUUAGUGAUCCGGUGGUUCCGCAUGGAAGGGCCAUCGCUCAACGGAUAAAAGCUACCCCGGGGAUAACAGGCUUAUCUCCCCCAAGAGUUCACAUCGACGGGGAGGUUUGGCACCUCGAUGUCGGCUCAUCGCAUCCUGGGGCUGUAGUCGGUCCCAAGGGUUGGGCUGUUCGCCCAUUAAAGCGGUACGCGAGCUGGGUUCAGAACGUCGUGAGACAGUUCGGUCCCUAUCCGUCGUGGGCGUAGGAAAUUUGAGAGGAGCUGUCCUUAGUACGAGAGGACCGGGAUGGACAUACCUCUGGUGUACCAGUUGUCGUGCCAACGGCAUAGCUGGGUAGCUAUGUGUGGACGGGAUAAGUGCUGAAAGCAUCUAAGCAUGAAGCCCCCCUCAAGAUGAGAUUUCCCAACUUCGGUUAUAAGAUCCCUCAAAGAUGAUGAGGUUAAUAGGUUCGAGGUGGAAGCAUGGUGACAUGUGGAGCUGACGAAUACUAAUCGAUCGAAGACUUAAUCAA